UACGGGGGGGGCAAGCGUUGUUCGGAAUUACUGGGCGUAAAGGGCUCGUAGGUGGCCAACUAAGUCAGACGUGAAAUCCCUCAGCUUAACUGGGGAACUGCGUCUGACACUGGAUGGCUUGAGAUUGGGAGAGGGAUGCGGAAUUCCAGGUGUAGCGGUGAAAUGCGUAGAUAUCUGGAGGAACACCGGUGGCGAAGGCGGCAUCCUGGACCAGCACUGACACUGAGGAGCGAAAGCCAGGGGAGCAAACGGG
RNAcentral lists this ribosomal RNA (253 nucleotides) under uncultured bacterium. Its description in RNAcentral is "partial 16S ribosomal RNA". It matches the Rfam family "Bacterial small subunit ribosomal RNA", at positions 524 to 776 of the family's 1533-position model. The record is from RNAcentral.